ACGGGAGGCAGCAGUGGGGGAUAUUGCACAAUGGAGGAAACUCUGAUGCAGCCACGCCGCGUGCGGGAAGAAGGCCUUCGGGUUGUAAACUUCUGUCCUUGGUGACGAUAAUGACGGUAGCCACGGAGGAAGCCACGGCUAACUCCGUGCCAGCAGCCGCGGUAAUACGUAGGUGGCAAGCGUUGUCCGGAAUUACUGGGUGUAAAGGGUGCGUAGGCGGCUCAUAAAGUCAGAUGUGAAAUACCGGGGCUUAACUCCGGAGCUGCAUUUGAAACUGAUAGGCUUGAGUGAAGUAGAGGUAAGCGGAAUUCCUAGUGUAGCGGUGAAAUGCGUAGAUAUUAGGAGGAACACCAGUGGCGAAGGCGGCUUACUGGGCUUUAACUGACGCUGAGGCACGAAAGCAUGGGUAGCAAACAGGAUUAGAUACCCUGGUA
This 434-nucleotide ribosomal RNA is filed under the name uncultured Clostridium sp. Its description in RNAcentral is "partial 16S ribosomal RNA". It matches the Rfam family "Bacterial small subunit ribosomal RNA", at positions 341 to 792 of the family's 1533-position model. The record is from RNAcentral. Lineage: Bacteria; Bacillati; Bacillota; Clostridia; Eubacteriales; Clostridiaceae.